Long non-coding RNA from Talpa occidentalis (Iberian mole), 289 nucleotides. RefSeq lists it as uncharacterized. Lineage: Eukaryota; Metazoa; Chordata; Mammalia; Eulipotyphla; Talpidae. The transcript is spliced from 3 exons. The record is from RefSeq and is a predicted model, not a curated record.
UAAAGGCUUGUUGCAUGUGUCCCGGGUUGGAGAAGAGACUGAAGGCCUGGAGCAGUGUUCUCUACCAAAGCAAGCGCACUCAAGCGAGGACUAGGUGGACGAUGGCUGGAGCAUCAGAUCCCUACCAUCGCUGGCAUUCUGAGUGCAGGGUGAGCUGCAGAGAAGCCUUCAGCUGGAGAAACUGGAGACCAUCACUCGAGUACUUGAGGUGGUGGCUGGGGUCCCUCUGGAAUGCUGCCCACCUAAGCAAAGAGCAAAUGGGACCUGCCACACAUCUGGGAACUGAGAG